GACGGCGUACCUUUUGUAUAAUGGGUCAGCGACUUAUAUUCUGUAGCAAGGUUAACCGAAUAGGGGAGCCGUAGGGAAACCGAGUCUUAAUAGGGCGUCUAGUUGCAGGGUAUAGACCCGAAACCGAGUGAUCUAUCCAUGAGCAGGUUGAAAGUGACGUAACAGUUACCGGAGGACCGAACCCACUGUCGUUGAAAAGCCAGGGGAUGACUUGUGGAUAGGGGUGAAAGGCUAAUCAAACUCGGUGAUAGCUGGUUCUCCCCGAAAGCUAUUUAGGUAGCGCCUCGGACGAACACCAUUGGGGGUAGAGCACUGUUUCGGCUAGGGGUCCAUCCCGGAUUACCAACCCGAUGCAAACUACGAAUACCGAAGAGUGAUACUCAGGAGACACACGGCGGGUGCUAACGUCCGUCGUGGAGAGGGAAACAACCCAGACCGCCAGCUAAGGUCCCAAAGUCAUGGUUAAGUGGGAAACGAUGUGGGAAGGCACAGACAGCUAGGAGGUUGGCUUAGAAGCAGCCACCCUUUAAAGA
Molecule: ribosomal RNA, 533 nt
Filed under: Aurantiochytrium limacinum
Lineage: Eukaryota; Bigyra; Thraustochytrida; Thraustochytriidae
Description: partial Bacterial large subunit ribosomal RNA
Rfam family: Bacterial large subunit ribosomal RNA
Source: RNAcentral